Non-coding RNA from Jatropha curcas, 1592 nucleotides. The record is from RefSeq and is a predicted model, not a curated record. NCBI's taxonomy places the organism in Eukaryota, Viridiplantae, Streptophyta, Magnoliopsida, Malpighiales, Euphorbiaceae.
UUCAAAAAAAAAAAAAACAAAUUUGCAUUAUCAUUUUUAUUUUUAUCUUUGAGUAGAAGCAUACACAAACGACUGCAUUCUCUCCAGGGUUUCUGUUUUUAGUCUCAGCCGCCGCUCUUGGUCUUGGGAACUGAGAGAAUCCGAUUACGAGAAUGAAAGGAUUAGCUUUUGGAGGUAUUUAUUUUGGUAAAUAUGCUCUUCAAGCUCUUGAACCGGCUUUGCUUACGGCUAAUCAUAUAAGAGCAGGGCGAGAUGCAAUUACGAAAAAUGCACCGCGCGAAAGAAAAAUAUGGAUACGAAUUUUUCCCGAUCAUCCACUUACUGUAAAACCCGCCGGAACUCGUAUGGGUAGAGGUAAAGGAUCUUUCAAAUGUUUGGCAGCUGAUGUUAAACCGGGCACAAUUCUUUAUGAAGUGGAUGGAGUAGCGGAAAAAGUAGCGAAAAAGGCAAUUUCAGUAGCAGCAUCCAAAAUACCUAUAAGAACUCGAUUUGUUAUUUCUAAAUAGAAAUAAAAUCGAGUUCUCACAAUCCAAAUUAUGGAAUUCGGAGCAUAAUUGGAGGUAAUUCUUGUUAUGUUUGAUGGGUUAUUUAUUUUUUCUAUUUUUGUCCAAUUUGGAUAUAUUGAUUUCUAUUUGUAGUGGUUCUUCUUAAAUGAAAUUAGGGAAUUAAUUUAUGAUUGUUAAUUGAAAGGCCAUUGUUGUUUUCAGUAAUCAGAUGAACUAUCAUUUUUAAAUCAAGUUAUUAGGAAUUGAACUUAAUUCUGACUUUGUGUGUUAGACUCAGAUGGGAAAGGAAUUUUAAUUUUUCAACCACAUUGUGAUUAGCAGCCUCUUAAAUCUUAAUUAGAAGAUUUAGAGAUAAAUAAAGAAUAAGGAAAACAUCAAUAAAACUAUAAUUUACAUACACUAAUAUGAGAUUGAAAUUGCAACUGCAUAUUGAUUAAACACAUCCCAAAUGUUUUAUCAAUACUUUUUAGCAGAUCCCUAAUUACAAGAUCAAGAUUGUUGAAGUCCUUCUCUUCCCCCUCCUCCAUCUCCAUCAAUCUUCUCAAUAAACUAAUAUUAAGGUAAAUUUGAUGAUCUUCCACCUCUUCUCAUAAACUAAUAACACUGUCCACAUAUUUAUUUAGCAAGAAAUACAUUCCCAAAGCCAAGACUACAGGGAGAAGGAAAACGACUCUUUUGGGCAGAAUAACUUCUUCAAGAUUUUGGUUAUUAUGAGAAACUGAUACUUCUUCAAAGAUUGUCUCUAGCUUUGGAUAAUUGCUUGAUGAUUUCCUGUGUGAUGAUGUGAGAAGGAUUGGUGCUACUUCUUCAAAAGAAUGAACAGAUUUGACACCCUUCACCAUUUGUGUAUGUACCACUAAUUGAACUUCCUUUUUUUCUGGAUUUGAAAAUUGGGAAUUUUUUUUUUCUGUGAUGAAGGGUUCUGGAGGAAGAUAGGGGGACUAGAAGAUUGGUAAAUAGUGGAGUGUAGAAAGAGAUAUAUAUAGAGAGAGAGGGGAAAGGAAUGGUUUAUUGAGGUUUGAAGAUUAUGCUUAUAAAGGAGAAGGAGAAGUGAUUAAUUUGCUAAAUUAAGGAUUGUUUUUUAAA